GUGGCUGUAGCUCAGUUGGUAGAGCCCUGGCUUGUGGUGCCGGUUGUCGCGGGUUCGAGUCCCGUCAGUCACCCCA
Molecule: transfer RNA, 76 nt
Filed under: Alphaproteobacteria bacterium
Lineage: Bacteria; Pseudomonadati; Pseudomonadota; Alphaproteobacteria
Description: tRNA-His
Rfam family: tRNA
About the family: Transfer RNA (tRNA) molecules are approximately 80 nucleotides in length. Their secondary structure includes four short double-helical elements and three loops (D, anti-codon, and T loops).
Source: RNAcentral